Molecule: ribosomal RNA, 254 nt
Filed under: uncultured bacterium
Lineage: Bacteria
Description: partial 16S ribosomal RNA
Rfam family: Bacterial small subunit ribosomal RNA
Source: RNAcentral
UACGUAGGGGCCUAGCGUUGUCCGGAAUUAUUGGGCGUAAAGAGCUCGUAGGCGGUUCGGCAAGUCGGAUGUGAAAUCUCCACGCUCAACGUGGAGGGGCCAUUCGAAACUGCCGUGACUCGAGUCCGGUAGGGGAGUGUGGAAUUCCCGGUGUAGCGGUGAAAUGCGCAGAUAUCGGGAGGAACACCGGUGGCGAAGGCGGCAUUCUGGACUGUAACUGACACUGAGGAACGAAAGCCAGGGGAGCAAACGGG